This 2680-nucleotide long non-coding RNA is filed under the name Helianthus annuus (common sunflower). RNAcentral describes it as "hypothetical non coding rna". The record is from RNAcentral. Lineage: Eukaryota; Viridiplantae; Streptophyta; Magnoliopsida; Asterales; Asteraceae.
UGGUGUGUGUUUUAGUCGACCAAAGAGAGAGAGAGAAAGGGGAAGAACACCAAAAACCUAAUUUGAAGAAUCUAGAGAAAUCAAGAUGAAAUCUGAGUGUUUGGCAUGCAUGAUUAAAGAUUUCAAGCCACUAACAUCAUUUAUACAUAAGGUGAGAGCUUGGAAAGGAAUGGUUCAAAUGGAUUAAAGGCGCGAGGAAGCUCGAACGGACGCAAGGUAAGUAAACCUUAGAACUCCUAGAAUAGAAUUACAACUUACGUGAUGGAAAGUAUUUUGGUGAUUAAUGAGAAAGUGUUAAAAUGUGACCCUAUGGUGUCAACCAUAACGGGUCAAACGAGUAAAAUGGUGUGUAACCACAUAUUGUGUUUUGUCAAAAAAAUAGUUGUUGACAACAAGUAGGUUCGUCACUUGCAGAACUAAUUUCAAGGUCUUAACCAUUGAGUUUUGACAUGAUAUUCAGUCAGAAAUUGUUAACAACAUAAAGGAUGUUUGGAAAUUUUUAUAGAUUUUUGUAAAGUCUUUUGACAUGGUUUUGCGGGUGUUUCGUCAAUAAAAUAGUUGUUAACAACAAUCAGGUCCGCUACUUGCAGAAGUUAUUUCGAGGUCUUAAACAUUGAGUUUUGACACGAUAUUUGGUCAGAACUUUUUAAACAACAUAAAGGAUGUUUGGUAAUUUUUAUAGAUUUUUCUAAAUUCGUUUGAUGUGGUUUUGCGGGUGUUUCGUCAAUAAAAUAGGUGUUGACAGCAAACAGUUCUGCUACUUGCAGAAGCUAUUUCGAGGUCUUAAUCAUCGAGUGUUGACACAAUAUUUGAGCAGAAGUUGGAUUACAACAUAAAGGAUGUUUAGUAAUUUUUAUAGAUUUUUAUAAAGUUGUAUGACGAGGUUUUCGCGGAUGUUUUGUCAAUAAAUUAGUUGUUGACAGCAACAGUUCCGCUACUUGCAGAAAUUAUUUCGAGGUCUUAACAAUCGAGUUUUGACACGAUAUUUGACCAGAAGUUGGUUUACAACAUAAAGAAUUUUUAGUAAUUUUUAUAGAUUUUUUUAAAGUUGUUCGACGAGGUUUUCACGGAUGUUUUGUCAAUAAAUUAGUUGUUGACAGCAACAGUUCCAUUACUUGCAAAAAUUUUGACAUGAUAUUUGGCCAGAAGUUGUUUAACGUAAAUAAUGUUUGGUAAGUUUUAUACAUUUUUAUGAAAUGUUCAAUGCGGUUCAUGCCGAUGUUUUGUCAAUAAAAUAGUGGUUGACAGAACAAUGUUUGAUAAUUUUACAACGAGUUCAAAUGCCCACUAUUUUAAUCAAAACCUUUAAAGGUCUCCGGGUUGCAAAAGGGCUAAAGUUGAUUAAAAUGCCCCGGGAUGAUGAAUCGGACAAACUGCCCUUGUAGGUAGAAUAAAAAUGAUUCUUAUAAGUGGGAUCCGGUAGCGUAAAAGUGGGCAUAAGCUUUUGGCUUAAUGCCUACUAAUGGGUCGUUUUUGGUAAACGUUAUAUCAGAGGAAAUCAACGAAAAAUAUAAGGCUUGUCUAAUGUAAACAACCGUAAUCGAGUUAUGGUUGAUGGAAAUAAUUAGCAUGUUGGUUAUAAAGAGGAAGGCAUGUUUUAGAGUGUGAAAUGCCUCCUAACGGGUCGGUUGGGUAACAGGGAAUAAAUGGUUGCUUGUCGCGCAAUGCGAGAGCACUAUGUUUCAGCAAAAAGUUAUUUUCUUCCGUCGUUUUAACCCGCGAUGACUAUUUAACUUAAACACUAAUGUGUUUUAGUGUUUAUGAUAGGUUUUCUCUAGACUGGAACUGGACGGAAGGACGACCAAGCACGCGAAGAACCGAACAUUCUGAAACCGCGAUCUUUCGGAAAUAAUCAUGAGAAUGAAGCAUGAUCAUGCUUAACAAAUUUCAAGCAUAAAACCUUAAUGUUCUUAAACUGUAAUAAAGUGUAUAGUCCGUUAUGUCGGUUCGUUUGGGUUAUUAAUUAACCCAGACGUAUAAAUUCUAUGUUUUAUGUAAAAAAAAAUUGGGACCAAAUUAUCCGCGUUUUUAUUAAAAUAUUAGAUAAAACGGGUUAGAGUGUUACAAGUGGUAUUCAGAGCUUAAGGUUAAAGGUUGAAGGUGUUCGGUUCAAGACUUGGUCACAUGGUCCGGUAAGUUAUUAUAAAUAUUAAGGGUCUAGCAUGGUUAAAAGUGUUGUAAACAACACAUAGGGAUAUCGUGUGAAUGCACGUUACCCCAAAUAAGUUGGUAAAGACCGGUAUAGUUAGCGAAUUACUUGUGUUAACAAGUAUUGUAGAAAACCCUGUACAAUAGUGCAGACGCAUAUUAAUUCUAACGUUACUAAUCUUUUGUGAAUGUAUUAGUUGAAUAACACUCGCAUAUGAAGAUAGUGGGAGGCUAAUGAUCUACCGACGUGAUGACGGAAUGGUUCGAAGUAUGACAAGUAGAGCAUGCUUACCAAGCACCUAAAUCAAAUAAUGAUAUAGAAUAAAGGUUGAACAACAAUGAAACCCAUGAGGGAAUAUAUCACCCAGGUUCAUAUGACCGGGUGGCCAGAGGGUGACUCGCUAUGAUAGAUGAUAAAGAGAAUGAGUACAAGAUUAAAGUAACGGCGCGUGAGCCUUACACAUGAAGGGCGCAUACGGAAAGGCCUACGAUAUUCCAAGACCGAAGAGAUGAACGCCUUAAAAACAAAAAU